Cydia pomonella (codling moth) is the source of this 963-nucleotide long non-coding RNA. RefSeq lists it as uncharacterized. NCBI's taxonomy places the organism in Eukaryota, Metazoa, Arthropoda, Insecta, Lepidoptera, Tortricidae. The transcript is spliced from 4 exons. The record is from RefSeq and is a predicted model, not a curated record.
CUGAGAUUCGGAUGAUCCUAUAUCUGUUGAUUUGGAUAUCUAUACAAAGGCAGAUCUCAGCAAUAUGAAAAUUUUAGUUUUUGCCGCGUUCGUUGGUCUGGUAGGACUGAUAGAAGCUGUACCGGGUACAUUACCACCAACAGUAAUUGGUACCUUAAGCGGUGGACAGAAAGUCCGUGCUUUCCAUCAGGGCGGCCUAUUGAAGCGUGCAGGUCGCGCCGUGGCUGCCAGCGACAAGGAGGCGGCCGUGCUUCGCCACGACUCAAACAUCAGCCCGGACGGUUUCCAAUAUGCGCCGUUCAAGGACAGUACCAAUACUCGGCGCCGGACGGAACCCCCAUCCAAGUACAAUAUGUAGCUGACGAAUCCGGAUACCAUCCUACAGGUGCUCAUCUCCCCGGGUCCCAACCUCCCCCGAAUACUGCUCAUACGGCGGUUCUGGCCCACCCUCAUCCCAACGUGUAUAAACCAUAAGUACAAGGAUCAAUCGGACUGGAGACCGAAAGUCACGGCAGAAUCUGAGCGAGUGCAAAACGCGUGGAGUUAUUAAAAUGGCAUAGUAUAGUCAGCAUCAAAAGUAGCUAUAACGUCAAAAGUAUCUACUAUUCUCUAAUAGCUUAACAAAAAGAUAUAUAUUGUAUAGAACAAUUAAGCUGCUGCAGAUACUUUUACAUGCGGACUUUCCAGAUAUAUUGGAAGAGUAAUCGAGGGUGGAAGAUACUUUUGGCGCAAUGUUCCUUACACUACUACUGACGCUGACUGUACUAGAACGCUUAUAUUUACUAUAUCACGCAGAGUCCGCGGUUGAUCUAGUUGUGUUAGCAUCCGCGCGGAUGUUGCCGUGUCUGACGGAGCCCUAAAUACAACGAACCUUGCUAUAGAGUACAAAUUAUAAUUAGAGAGUAACACAAUAUUAUGAAAAUAAGCGCAAAUGUAUUAUGUAAAUAAAAUCACAGUGCCAUA